Molecule: ribosomal RNA, 253 nt
Filed under: uncultured bacterium
Lineage: Bacteria
Description: partial 16S ribosomal RNA
Rfam family: Bacterial small subunit ribosomal RNA
Source: RNAcentral
UACGGAGGAGGCAAGCGUUAUCCGGAAUUAUUGGGCGUAAAGCGUCCGCAGGUGGCGAUUCAAGUCUGCGGUCAAAGACUGGGGCUUAACCCUGGAAAGGCCGUGGAAACUGAAUAGCUAGAGUGCAGUAGGGGUAGAGGGAAUUCCCGGUGUAGCGGUGAAAUGCGCAGAUAUCAGGAGGAACACCGGUGGAGAAGGCGGGUCUCUGGGCCGUACCUGACGCUAAAGCGCGACAGCAUGGGGAGCAAACGGG